AGUUUUUCAUUUAGUUCUUUCUUUCAUCUUUUUUGCUGAGGUUAUAUCUGAAUUGGUUACUGAAAUAAGUGCUAACAUGCAGAUUGUGCAAGCCUUCCAUCAUUUCAUACAUGUGUUGGCACUAAUGAGGAAAGGCUAACCCCAAAGUGGUAUAAGGAACAUGGGAUUGAAUUGGUUCUUGGAACUCAAGUCAAGUCAGCUGAUGUAAGGCGCAAGACUUUAUUGACAACAGCUGGGGAGACUGUUACAAGAUGUCAUUUGAAGUUCUUUGUUUUCAAGCCAAGUCAAGUCAAGUCAGCUGUCAUUUUAAGUUCUCUGUUUUCAUUCUUCACCACCCAUUAAGAAAGCUGCUCUUGGAAAUAUCCCAACCAUUGCCUUCUGUGACACUGAUUCACCAAUGCGACACGUUGAUAUUGGUAUCCCUGCCAACAACAAGGGGAAGCAUAGCAUAGGGUCUCUUUUGGCUCUUGGCAAGAAAGGUUCUGCAGAUGCGCGGUACUAUUCGUCCUGGACAUAAGUGGGAUGUGAUGAUUUGUUUUUCUAUCGUGAAUCUGAGGAGGCUAAGCAACAGAAGGAGGAAGAAGCAGUUGCCAUUCCCAAUUACGGACUCAUUGAUUAUUCUGCUCCUUCCCUUGCCUCUGACCAGUGGCCUGUUCAAGUUGCUGAUACUAAGUGGAGCCCUCAUGUUCAGCAUCCUAUCUCAGCAGUUCCUACUACUUGGGCCACAGAACCAGUUGCUUUAGCAGCAGGGGAUUGGGAUGCUGCUCCCGUGCCACCAGUGACCACCACUGUUAUUGAAGGUGCUGCUGCUCUAGCUUCUGGAUGGGGUGAAUGAAGUUAGAAAGCAAAAAAAAAAAAUUUUGAGUUAGCUUUCCAAGUUUGAUCAAUUUCUUUUGUGAUAUGAACAUUGUUUAUGGGCACAGCUUAGUGUAAUUUCAAGGAUUUUUGACUAUGUAGUUGGUGCCUUUAAGGGAUUUGCUUUAUUUUGAUCUGUUCAAGAAUCUAAUAUUCUCAAGCAAUGCAAAGACAUGCUUUAUCAGUCUCCUGAAUGCAA
RNA transcript from Juglans regia (Persian walnut), 1054 nucleotides. It is a transcript of the gene named 40S ribosomal protein SA-like, with no coding region annotated. NCBI's taxonomy places the organism in Eukaryota, Viridiplantae, Streptophyta, Magnoliopsida, Fagales, Juglandaceae. The transcript has 5 exons. The record is from RefSeq and is a predicted model, not a curated record.